GCUGUGCGUCGGACGUCGAGCGGGAAAAUCGAGUCGCUCGGAACCCACAAGAAGCCAGAAACAGAAACAGAGCCAGAGUCAGAGUCCGAUCCAAGCGAGAGCGCGCUAAGGCAAAAGUUUCAAACGGUUUUGGGCAAAGGCAACGUUGAAUGCACUUCGGAGAUUCAUCAGUGCGCGCGUUCGUGGGCCUUUUGUUUACGCGGGUUUUACGGAAUGUGUGCCAAAUAGGAUGAGGGCGUGGACACGCCCAUUCAAGUUGCUGCAUUAAGUGAGGAGAAGUGAUGUGAAGUGAAGUGAAGUGAAGUGGAGUGAGGUACAUAUAUAUAUACACACAAGUACAUGGUGCCAUCUUCGCCUGCUCCAUCAUCCAUCAGUGGUGGGGUGGAGACAACAGUCUGCCAGAUGUGAGCCAUGAUUGUGAGUGCAAUGUGUCUUUUAUAAAUCAAGGAAAAUCACAUUUUAAAUUGCUGCGCAUUAGAACGGAUACAAAAGCCAAGCCAGCCAGCAGGCAAGCAGAGAAAGGACAGAGAAAGCAAUGAAAGGCAGGCCAGAUCGAAAGUCAAACGCCGUCAAACGCUGAUUGCGACGUCGCCUAUCCACAAAAGGGAAAAUAAACCAGAAAAAUAUACACUUACAAAUAUAUAGCCGUAGAAUAAAAUAAAAAGGAAACGCGGAGGAUUUGACUGAUGUGAAUGAAGUGAAAGAUGUGACUCCUGCGCGAGUGCUUGGAUAGGGAUAACCCCAUUCCGAAGAGGGGCACGUGCACCGCCCCACGUAGGCGGCCAUUGUUUAGCCCACAUGUAUUUCAAUUUGAUUAUAUUGAUGAGCAUAUGAUGUAAUAUAUGGAGAUAUAAUCUGAUUAGAGGCAGAGGCAGAGGCAGAGGCAGGUGGCUUAGAGGCACUUGAGACUGAGCUCUCCUCCGCCUAAAGCAUGCGUCGUACUCGUACCAUCUGGCUCUUUCCUUGUUGUUUGCGGGUCGUGCUCUGCAAUAGAUUUUAAAACUCAUUAAUGUGCAAAGACGCCAAUUUCCCAAGUCUCUGCCCUUCGUUGUAGGUGUCAUUAGACAGGUGAGCAAAACUCUGGGACCCAGGGAGCGGAAGGGGACGAGAAGAAGAGCUGACAAUGAUACUGGCAAAUCAAUAAAGGUGUGGAAACAGGUGCCGCAACUGGGCCAAGACAUUUGAUAGCAGUUCAAAAGGAGAAAGAAAGGAAGUAUAAAAUAAAUACAAAAGGGAAAGGAUUUCACGCUUGACAGCGCAAAAGCAAAUGGCAAAAAUAAAUAUUAUAUCUCCCGAUCAAACCGAAAUAAAUCGUUGAUUAAUUGACGGAAGCUCGGAGGGAACUUGCAACUUGGAUAACUGGGAUAAAGUUCUUUAAAUAGCUGAGUGGAAACAGUUUAGAUGAUUAGGAAAGCAAAACGGAUUACAUUUACACAGCUGAAGAGUUUCACAUUCGAGAUGAUUAAGGAAUUUAAAUGGCACAAACAAAUAUGUAGAAAUAGCUUAAAAAUAAUUGUUCAAUAUAUGGAGGGACUUUCGAAAUAACACAAAGAUAACUAGGUAGAUAAAAUGGAGGCAUAUCCAAAAGAUUUUUCUCAGGAAUACUCGUACAUACGUACUAUGCAUGGACAUAUGUACAGACUAGUCCGAGUACAUAAUCAGGGACCAUCAAUCUAGGGCUCUUUUGUUGGGAAAUACUUGGACACUGAGAUAGGCAUUCGUCAAUCUUGCCUCAAGUUAAAUGGAAUUCCUGGGAAAAAAAGAAUUUAUCGUCUUCGUAUAAAUUAGCUCGAAAUUAGAUUAGGAUAUCAUUUCGGCAGGACCAAGCCCAACGUCCGCGGAAAGCCCGGUAAGCGGGGAAAGUAGUCUUUCUCGUAGUCUGUGCCCCACAGUGGGAUAUUUUCCUGGAAAUAAAUAUCAAUUUGUUUGUUAGCUCACCCAAUUAAACACUCAUCCACAGAGCCACAUCGUGACCCCAUCUAUUUCCUCUAGUUUAGGGAUAGGAAUAAUGCAUUUGGAUGUCGGUUUUGGGGACCCGACUUCGAUUUGCCGGCUGUGAGCCACAUAAAUGCUGCAUCCGGGCAUUAGCUUGGAGGAUUCAGCACAGCUUUUCAGGCCAAUCGACAGCAAGAACAACAAAAUAAAAAAAUCUCCCGAUUCAGCAGCCAUUACAAAUUUGCCAAACUCAGCAAGGAUUCGCCUGCGAAAGCAGAAACAGAAGCAUCAGAGAGGGUGAGACUGUGCCGAGACGGAGAGGGAGAACCAAUGCAAUUCAUUAAUUUAUUGACUUAUAAUCAAGGCAUCUAAAAACUUAUGCCCAGAGGCAGAGGCAGAGCAAGAACAAGAUAAAUAUACAUUUAUCACAUAAAUAGAACACUAGCAGCAGCCGCCCGGAGGCCAAAAAGCAAAGCUCGAGGCACUCCUCUGCGGUUGUGGCUGACUCCUGGGCUCCUGGUGGCUUGCCUCCUGGUGGCUGCUGCCAUGUUUGCUGGGACCCACUGGGAAAGUUAUCUGUAGGUCUUUUUGCCUUUCUCUCGCCUGGCUGCUGCGGUUGGCUUUACCAAAUAAAGCACGAAAUAAGCUAAAGCAUACGUUUUCGGCCUGCGGUUCUAAGUACUCCAAAGAAAUAUCAACAAAAAAACGUGAAGUCGGAGAUAUACAGUCACGUCCUGACUGGGUCUCCCCCCCCCCCCCCCCCCCCCCGUAUUGGGGUAAAGGCAUUUCGGUAUGCAAAUCCGACCAAGAAGACUUCAUAAAAGCAAUGCAAAUAAUUAAAUAACAGAACGGAGAAGGGAAAACCCAGAGCACAGAGAACAAAAACCAGAACACGAA
Molecule: long non-coding RNA, 2832 nt
Filed under: Drosophila guanche
Lineage: Eukaryota; Metazoa; Arthropoda; Insecta; Diptera; Drosophilidae
Source: RNAcentral